CGACCACUUAUCGCCGUCUUCAUAAGCACGGACCAAAGGCCGUAAUUUUCUCCGUUCAAUAUAUUUCCGCCGAUGUUGAGGGGCUGCGUAUCAAUCUUAUAUGAUACGGCAGUGGUUUCUGUUGUAUUUGAGGAGGGUACAAGGAAAGAAAGAAUUUAGAAAGGAAAGAAACGGGAAAGGGCCGAGAAAGGUAUCAAGGACGAUGAUGAUACCUAUUCUGAGUCCAAACCCGCUCUGAUACCAUGUUAAAUGGUAUAGGCAUCAUAUUUAGAGAGGAUAGCAAUAUUUAGAGAAGAAAGCAAAAGGAAUAUAUGAAUUGUAUUUUUAUCGGAUGAUUGAAAGAUUCCCAACACCCAUAUAUUUAUAGGGAUGUUAGGAGACUCUUGAAGUACUACAAUAAAUGUGUUCCUUGGAACUACUAA
This is a long non-coding RNA of Salvia hispanica, 422 nucleotides long. RefSeq lists it as uncharacterized. The record is from RefSeq and is a predicted model, not a curated record. Lineage: Eukaryota; Viridiplantae; Streptophyta; Magnoliopsida; Lamiales; Lamiaceae.